Molecule: ribosomal RNA, 253 nt
Filed under: uncultured bacterium
Lineage: Bacteria
Description: partial 16S ribosomal RNA
Rfam family: Bacterial small subunit ribosomal RNA
Source: RNAcentral
UACGAAGGGGGCUAGCGUUGCUCGGAAUCACUGGGCGUAAAGGGUGCGUAGGCGGGUCUUUAAGUCAGGGUGAAUCCUGGAGCUCAACUCCAGAACUGCCUUUGAUACUGAAGAUCUUGAGUUCGGGAGAGGUGAGUGGGAACUGCGAGUGUAGAGGUGAAAGUGACGCAGAUAUCAGGAGGAACACCGAUUGCGAAGGCAGCUCGCUGGACGUUACUGACGCUGAGACGCGAAAGCGUGGGGAGCAAACAGG